AACCUAGCACACCUGCGGUGUGUACCUGCGGAGGGAUCAUUACAAGUGACCCCGGUCUUACCACCGGGAUGUUCAUAACCCUUUGUUGUCCGACUCUGUUGCCUCCGGGGCGACCCUGCCUUCGGGCGGGGGCCCCGGGUGGACACUUCAAACUCUUGCGUAACUUUGCAGUCUGAGUAAACUUAAUUAAUAAAUUAAAACUUUCAACAAUGGAUCU
RNAcentral lists this unclassified non-coding RNA (217 nucleotides) under soil metagenome. RNAcentral describes it as "partial contains 5.8S ribosomal RNA, internal transcribed spacer 2, and large subunit ribosomal RNA". The record is from RNAcentral.